RNAcentral lists this ribosomal RNA (302 nucleotides) under uncultured bacterium. RNAcentral's name for it is "partial 16S ribosomal RNA". It matches the Rfam family "Bacterial small subunit ribosomal RNA", at positions 508 to 807 of the family's 1533-position model. The record is from RNAcentral.
GCAGCAGCCGCGGUAAUACGAAGGGUGCAAGCGUUACUCGGAAUUACUGGGCGUAAAGCGUGCGUAGGUGGUGGUUUAAGUCCGUUGUGAAAGCCCUGGGCUCAACCUGGGAAUUGCAGUGGAUACUGGGUCACUAGAGUGUGGUAGAGGAUAGUGGAAUUUCCGGUGUAGCAGUGAAAUGCGUAGAGAUCGGAAGGAACAUCUGUGGCGAAGGCGACUAUCUGGGCCAACACUGACACUGAGGCACGAAAGCGUGGGGAGCAAACAGGAUUAGAUACCCGCGUAGUCCCUGUCUCUUAUAC